This is a long non-coding RNA of Alexandromys fortis (reed vole), 1987 nucleotides long. RefSeq lists it as uncharacterized. The transcript has 2 exons. Lineage: Eukaryota; Metazoa; Chordata; Mammalia; Rodentia; Cricetidae. The record is from RefSeq and is a predicted model, not a curated record.
AGAGAAAAGUAAAAGUUAAAAUAUAUCACGUAUUCCAACAAUUACUACAAAAAUCCUUUGUCUGGAAGCAAAAUAGGCUUACUUUACUUAAAACACAGCCUCCCGCCAAACAAACAAACAAAACAACACGUUUAUUUAGGGUAUGUGGUGGUCAGAGGACAGCUUGCUUGGAGAUGGCUCCUUCCACCAUGAGAGUUCCAGGGAUCAAACACAGGUUGUCAGGUUUGUGUAGCAGGUAUCCUUACCUGCUGAGCCAUAUUGCCAUCCACAUUCAUUUCUUUUGCUGUGUCUCAUGCAUGAAUGGCAACCACUCUAAGAGCUGAACUAUAUCCCCAGCUUUGCAAAAUCUGCUUUUAAGCAUCCAGAAACAGUUAAUGAACUUAGAAUUCACAGCCCAUCAUCAAUUAUUCUUGCAACGUAGGCUAACUUUUAAUUUUCUCCAAUUGCCCCUCAGUGAUCAGAUAUGUAGACAUACUCUACACAUCAACGUACAUGUGUUUUCACAGAUGUGUAAUGCACAGAUUGUGUUUGUCUGUAGCUGGAUUUACACUCCGUUUAUUGACUUUACAGGUCUCGACAUGACUUCGGCAGCUGAUGAAAUGAGAAGCAUUGCGGCACUUCUGAGUAGCUUCUUUUUUUCCCCCCCAGAGACAAGGUUUCUCUGUAGUUUUGGUGCCUGUCCUGGAACUAGCUCUUGUAGACCAGGCUGGCCUCAAACUCACAGAGAUCCUACUGCCUCUGCCUCCCGAGUGCUAGGAUUAAAGGUGUGUGCCACCACCACCGGGCUCUGAGUAGCUUCUUGUAAACUGUCAAGGACUGGGAAGUCUUGUUAGAGUCAGAAGAAUCCCUUCCUCCCCAGAAGCUAUCUUGCCACCAAACCUGCAGGUGUUUUUUAUGUUUUACUUUUUUGUACUUUGAACGAGAAUGUUCUCCAUAAGGCUCAACUAUGUGAAUACUUGGGUCUCCAGUUGGAGGCAGUUUGGGGAGAUUUAGAUGGUAUAGGUUUACUUUACUUAAAACAUCCCAAAUUAUUUAGGGUUAUGUGAUGGCCAGAGAAAAGCAGGUUUUGAGAUUAUAUAGUCUCAUUGUGCUUCCAGUUUGCUCUGCCUACUUCAUGUUCAUAGCUAGAGGUGUGAUCACUCAUCUUCCUGCUUGAGCGACCAUGCCUGCCACUGUGACCAUUCCUCCCUACCACAGUGGAGCCCCAUCCCUUUGGAUCUGUAAGCCCAAAGAAGCUCUUCCAUAAACUGACUUGGUCAUAGAAUCUGAUCAGAGCAAACACAAAAUAACUAAUACGGAAGUGGGUAGAGACUGGCCUGCUGCCUCACACUGACGUCACUAAGUGUGGCCGGUGUGGCCCUGAGGGAGGAAGUGUGUCACUGCAGAGGCAGGCUUUGAGGUCUCAUAUAUAUUCAAGCCACGCCCAGUGAGACAGUAUACUUCCUGUUGCCUCUGGAUAAAGAUGUAAGGACUCUCAACUCCAGUUACAUGCCUGCCUUGCAUGCUGCCUUGCUUCCCACAUUUCCUGCUAAGAACAUUUUAAGAUUGUUAAAUUUGUUUAUUAUGUAAUGGACUAACCCUCUGAAUUGUAAGCAAGCCACCCCAAUUAAAUAUAAGAGUUGCUAUGGUCAUGCUGUCUCUUCACAGCAAUAAAAACCCUAAGACACCAUGUUACUUUUUUGAGGACUGUGGAGGACUGUGGAAGACUGAAUCAAGAGUGAUUGAAUGCUUUAAGCAGCACUUAGUAAGCUAUUCUAAUAGAAGCCUGGAAAAUAGUGUGGACUACAAAGACCCAGCUCAAGUGGUCUGAAAGAGGAACGUUAUUAGCAACUGGACUAGAGGGCAUUCAUGUGAUAUUUUGGUAAGAAUCUGUCUGUUCCAGAGAAGCUAGCUAACAAGGAAGACCCUAAGCGGAUGCAUGGAUCCCCCUAGGAAGGGAAAAUAGACAAGAUCUCCUGUCAGUGUGAGGGAGGGGAGGAGAACAUGA